AUUGAGGAUAGCUUAUAUAUUUGCAAAUUGACAGUUAUGCUGUUGUUGUAUCUUGAAUAGAGAAAGUACUUCUAAGAUUAAAAACCUCUAUGCCACGUCUUGUAUUAAGCAUACUUGCAGCUCUUGCUAUGUACUGUAAAUGCCUUCUUGCUUCUUACGAAACUUGUGGGUACAUUCUCUAGACACAGAUCAAGUCUAGCCCUGGACUUGAAAUACAUUUCAGUGUGGAAGGCAUGUGACAUUGUGGUGCUGUGGAUGUUAUGAUGUGUUCAUAAAGACAGGGCGCUGCUUAGAUUUCUCACCAGCACUCUCAUUUUUGAAAGGAUUACGGUGCAUGAAAGCAUCUGAGAACUGCCUCUUUGUUAUCAGACUGUUUGUCUGACAAUCUGGAGUUUAGAUUUAGAUAAAGUUUUUGAGCUUAAGUGAACAUACUUGGGUUGAAAGUCAUCGUGGAUUGUGAUGAUGGUCGAAUCCCCAAAGAGUUACAUAUUAGCUGUGUUUAAGCUGAAGUUUAAAACGUGAACAAAAACAUGUUUGGUGUCUAUAGGUGAUAAGAAUGUGGUCCCCUCUUGUCCCGAUAAUUACACAAGUCUGUUUUAGAUGGCUUUAGCCUAACUUGUGCAUGUGUGCUCCUGUCCUAAACCAGUGAAGAUAAAACAACAUAACUGAUUGGUACCUAAAUAAAAAAGUUAUGAAAUCUGAGAUGAGACUGCUAGGUUUAUUUAUUUAUGCCUGUUUUGUGAAGAAGAGUAAAGGAAAAAUCUAGAAAGCUAGGAUGAAAGAGUUUCACAUAUGGUCUUUUUUUAUUUUAUUUUUCAUUUUUUAAAAAGAAAAAAGUUAAUACAUAGUUUAAAAUUUUGUGAUGUCAAAUUGUGUAUUCAGUUUCUGAUUGUGGUUUGAAAUCUUCUCGCUCUUCACUUUGUUGCCAUGUUGAAAUGCCAGGUUUUUACUGGCAUUUCAUGGUGGUUGUGCCGAGUGAUAUUUCAUAUAAGAUUGUCAAUGGAAAAUCAGCUAAAUUAAUAUAGAACUGCGAAUGAAUGAGUGGUCUGAGGAAGAUAACCAUUUUACUGCAAUUUAACUGAAUGGGAGACACAUUUGUAAUGAUAAAAAUACUUGCUUUGAUCAGCUAAUCCAAUUGUUGAUUAUAUUAUCUGCAGAAAUAAAACUUUUAGUUAAACAAAG
Long non-coding RNA from Ictalurus punctatus (channel catfish), 1182 nucleotides. Lineage: Eukaryota; Metazoa; Chordata; Actinopteri; Siluriformes; Ictaluridae. The record is from Ensembl.